GAUGAACGCUGGCGGCGUGCCUAAUACAUGCAAGUCGAACGAAACUUCUUUAUCACCGAGUGCUUGCACUCACCGAUAAAGAGUUGAGUGGCGAACGGGUGAGUAACACGUGGGCAACCUGCCCAAAAGAGGGGGAUAACACUUGGAAACAGGUGCUAAUACCGCAUAACCAUAGUUACCGCAUGGUAACUAUGUAAAAGGUGGCUAUACUACCGCUUUUGGAUGGGCCCGCGGCGCAUUAGCUAGUUGGUAGGGUAAAGGCUUACCAAGGCAAUGAUGCGUAGCCGAAUUGAGAGGUUGAUCGGCCACAUUGGGACUGAGACACGGCCCAAACUCCUACGGGAGGCAGCAGUAGGGAAUCUUCCACAAUGGGCGAAAGCCUGAUGGAGCAACGCCGCGUGGGUGAAGAAGGUCUUCGGAUCGUAAAGCCCUGUUGUUAGGGAAGAAAGUGCGUGAGAGUAACUGUUCACGUUUCGACGGUAUCUAACCAGAAAGCCCCUGCUAACUACGUG
This 512-nucleotide ribosomal RNA is filed under the name uncultured bacterium. RNAcentral's name for it is "partial 16S ribosomal RNA". It matches the Rfam family "Bacterial small subunit ribosomal RNA", at positions 28 to 507 of the family's 1533-position model. The record is from RNAcentral.